AUCGCUUCUCGGCCUUUUGGCUAAGAUCAAGUGUAGUAUCUGUUCUUAUCAGUUUAAAGUGAACAAAAUGAACACAGAGAUAAGACCCUUUAGACAGUUUCCAUUAUGAGUCAACAGAAUUUGUGAUUCUGGUGAGACCUUUUUUUGGUAACACACCCAAUUGCUCCCUCU
This 171-nucleotide small nuclear RNA is filed under the name Suricata suricatta (meerkat). Its description in RNAcentral is "U2 spliceosomal RNA (ENSSSUG00005000535.1)". It matches the Rfam family "U2 spliceosomal RNA". From Rfam's summary of the family: U2 is a small nuclear RNA (snRNA) component of the spliceosome (involved in pre-mRNA splicing). Complementary binding between U2 snRNA (in an area lying towards the 5' end but 3' to hairpin I) and the branchpoint sequence (BPS) of the intron results the bulging out of an unpaired adenosine, on the BPS, which initiates a nucleophilic attack at the intronic 5' splice site, thus starting the first of two transesterification reactions that mediate splicing. The record is from RNAcentral. Lineage: Eukaryota; Metazoa; Chordata; Mammalia; Carnivora; Herpestidae.